This 117-nucleotide non-coding RNA is filed under the name unclassified sequences. RNAcentral's name for it is "SAM-I-IV sequence". It matches the Rfam family "SAM-I/IV (S-adenosyl methionine) riboswitch aptamer". From Rfam's summary of the family: It is found upstream of a number of genes which code for proteins involved in methionine or cysteine biosynthesis. It has been found mostly in the order Actinomycetales. The record is from Rfam by way of RNAcentral.
UUACAUCAUCAGGAGCGAUUUCUUACGAGAAAUCCACCAACCGAGCUUAAAAGCUACGGUGGUUAGUUCCAUUAAACGGAAGAUGUGCCUUGAAAAAGGAAAAAGUGGAACCGCCUG